UGACGCGAGACUUUCUGAGUAGGCGGGGAGAACUGAGUCUUGGUCUCGCUUCGCCCGAUUUGCACUCGGCGUGUGACGAGUCGUGCGACCCAUCUUCGAGGAAAAGCAAAACAAACAUGGGAGAGUGGUGGACAGUGGAUAAGGGAAGAAAUCAUGUCAGUUUCUCAAUCUUAACUGGCUAAGGUGACUCUCCUCACUCUCCUUCAAUAAUCUCAAAGCUGAGUCCAGGAGUCCCCGAAAUUAAAGAGAAUGGAGUCAGGUGGUCAGCGUCAACUCAAGAAAGAAAGCCCGGAGCAGGAGUAAACCCUUCAAUGGAGUGAGAGAAGAUUAAUUUAAGGUCAAGCAGAUAUUUAUCAGUGCGAGGCACUGCUCCUGGCAUUCCCAAGAAGUCAAAAGCAGCCGGAGUGUGAAGGAGAUAAGAAAGUAAAAGCCCAACUGCAAUAGAAAAAG
Long non-coding RNA from Myotis daubentonii (Daubenton's bat), 450 nucleotides. RefSeq lists it as uncharacterized. NCBI's taxonomy places the organism in Eukaryota, Metazoa, Chordata, Mammalia, Chiroptera, Vespertilionidae. The record is from RefSeq and is a predicted model, not a curated record.